GUGAAUCAUCAAAUUUUUGAACGCAAAUUGCGCUUCCUGGUAUUCCGGGAAGUAUGCCUGUUUGAGGGUCGGUAUUAACAAAUAAUUGGCUUGGUUGCAAAUUGUGACGUUUAAGGCGUUUGGGUUUAUCUUAACUUUUUUGGUUAAGGGGCUUAAAAUUGACCUUUUUUGCGCAUUUUUAGACGUACAUAAAUUUUUUUUUAUUCGUCUAUUCUUAAUGUCAAAUUAUUAUUAGAUGCGUCCAUAUCGUGUGGCUUCGUGUCUAU
This 266-nucleotide unclassified non-coding RNA is filed under the name Glomeraceae sp. RNAcentral describes it as "partial contains 5.8S ribosomal RNA and internal transcribed spacer 2". The stretch from base 1 to 71 matches the Rfam family "5.8S ribosomal RNA", at positions 84 to 154 of the family's 154-position model. The record is from RNAcentral. Lineage: Eukaryota; Fungi; Glomeromycota; Glomeromycetes; Glomerales; Glomeraceae.